AGGUGACCUUAACAAUUAAAUAUCUCAAAUCGCCAUUAAAAUAGGGAGAAGAAAUAUUUCACCAGGCAAACUACAAGGCACAAUACUGGACUACAAGACUGUUCUAGUGAAUCGUGAUGUUAAGAUAAUAAAGGCUAUUAGAUAUAGACCAACAGCUAAACAAGAUGGAAGCCGAGAGUAUACUGGAAUCAACACUACGCCAAGCUGAAAACGAUGGAAAUAUAGGAGAAGUAGUUGAAACAUUAUCAUUACAAGAUAAGAUGCAAGCUGUACUUACAUGUAUAUCUGGUGUAAAGGGAUUGUAUGAUGUUGUGAUACAUCUGAUAGACCAUAGUAUUGGUGUACAAUAUGUUGAAAGUGGUCAGGGCAACCUACUGCACUUACUUUUACGUAGCUAUAGCAGAUAUAACAAUGCAAGUAGACCUGAUUUGUUGUUACAGUGUAUAGUUAAAUUAAUUGAGGCUGGGGUAGACGUAAACUGGUCCAAUGAAGACAAUGAGAUGCCUGGAUUUACAGCUGCUUGGAAAGGAUUGUAUGAAGUUGUGAUACAUAUGUUAGAACAUGGUUUUGAUUUACAUUAUGUUGAAAGCCACCAGAACAACUUGUUACACAUACUUUUAUAUAGAUAUGACAAAUACAAUUAUAGCUAUACAAGUAGACGUGAUUUGUUAUUACAAUGUAUAGUUAAAUUAGUUGGUACUGGUGUAGACUCCAACCAGUUGAAUGACCCCAAAAUAUACUCGAAUUUUGUGCUACCGGACCUAAAAGCUAUGCCUUGAAAAUUGAAAAUCAAAAUACCCACAAAAUAUCUUUAUAACAUUGGCUUCCAGUUCGAGCGAGGGUUCAAUUUAAAGCUCUUGUGAAUGUGUUUAAAUCAGUUUAUUCUGACACUGCACCCAGUUAUUUAAAAGAACUCUUUGAUUUCUAUUCUCCCCGGCGAUACACCCUUCGUUCGUCAAGUGAUCGUAGCCUAUUGAGGAUUCCUAAACAAAAUAAACUUUCUGGGGAAUUCAAUAUGCUUUCUCCGUCAGAGCAGCUGAAAUGCGAAAUGAACUUCCAAAAGCUCUUCGAGAGUACUCUUCCAUCCAGAGCUUUAAGACUUACUUAAAAACAUAUUUAUUUCAAAACUGUUUUUGAACUUUUUGUUGUGAAUGUACUUAGAAACUGUGUAAUGAAGCGCUAUAUAAAUGAACAAUAAUAAAGAUGCUAAAGAGCAAAAUGUUUUCAAAGACUCGAUAAGGUAGACUAAUGUGAUUUAUGACCUCUGUUAUAGACAGGGCUGCCGACAACCAGUAUCGCAGCGCAAUUUGCGAUACAUAUUUUGUCCGUUGCUAAUCAAAAAUUAAAAUCUAAAGUUUUUGAUUCGCAGUAACUGCGAAUCAUUAAUAUGCCUGUCAUUUUGGAUAUUGACACAAGGAUAAUCCACAUUUGAAGACUAGAAAGCUUUCUCAACAAUUUCAACGAGUAUAAAAUGUUGAAUAAAAUUUUAUAAACAAAACUGAAUUCUCCGUGUGACAUUUUCUUCUCGAACUACCCAGACACAAUUCAUUAUACGGUACUAUAUAAUACAGGGACAUAACUCUAUGAAUAGGGACUAUUAAACCGGAAACAGGGAAUCAAGUAGUACCACUCACGUUGCGAGACAUCAAGUAAUUAUAUGACGUGUCUAGUCAAUCGAGGUGCGCCCGAUUGAACAAAAAAAGCAAUACACUAUAAAAAGCAGACGAAAUUGUUUUCUAACGAAGAUUUCUAACGUAUAAAAAAAUAACAAUUAAAAUGAUUGGGGCUUCGGAAGUCACUGUUAAGAAUUGGCUUCAGACAUAAGACCUAACUAAAUGUCUACAUCACAUUCACAAACUGUCACAAGUACUUGUGGCAGUCCUAAAAAAAUCUAAGAUUAGUAAGAAUGGAAUCUAAUCAUAUUUGUUAUGAACUAAAGUAAUAUCUUGUUAUUUAGGUGUUUUAUGUUGAAACUGAAAAACUGCUAAUCAAUUUUUAAAUUUGCUAAUCAAAUUUGGCAAAAUUGGACUUUUUGAUUAGCAGUGCUGCUAAUCAACCGUGAAAAAUUACCGUCAGCCCUGGUUAUAGAAGUAUGCAGGCCAUGUGGAACAGUUAUAGACGGAUGCAGACCGUAUGGAACAGGAUAGAUAGCUAUAUAAUAAAGUAUUAAACAGAGACAGAAUGUUUUUGGAAAUUUUUAAUUGUAUUUGUUUAUUCGCCCGGACACAAUUCUCACAGGGCCCUAAUUUGCCAAGGGCCCAUUUGGCUCAUGGCCGAAAUUAGCACAGGGCAGAAAUUCGCCCAUACCCAAUUCUCUAGAGCCCAAAUUCGCGAGGGGCCGAAGUUCGCCAGGGGUCCAAUAUCGCCCGUGGUUCAUAAUCGCCCGAGGCCCAAUUUCGCCCGGCCUUAAACAUUGAUUUGAUACCAUAUGACAGGGCCUGUGGUCCACAUUCAACCGGCCUUAAACAUUCACGGGGCCAUGCUGGUUAAUUUAAUACCACAUAUAUCGGGUCCCGGGGCCUAAUUCGCCCGGAACCCAAAUUCGACCUGGACCCAUUUUCGAUAGCCUAAACAUUCACGACGCAUACACACCAGCACAUACAUACAUACAUACAUACAUACAUGUAAAUUAUUGUAUAGUAAAAACUGCCUUGUAAUGGUCGUACGGUAUAUCUAACAUCUAGAUAAUCUGAUUUGUACUGGAUAAACUAUAUUAAAUCUAAUCUAGGUUUGUAAAAUAUAUAUUAUUCUUGUGUAUAAAAUAUAGUAUAGUUUAUACUUGUACUGGAUAUUCUAAUUUUGUAGAUAUAUAUUAUUCUUUAAACAUACAUUAUGCAAGAGCAAAAUCUGAUUAUUGCAAGUCUUAAAUUAGGCGUCAGAUGUUAUAGAAAUUAUAAAUUAGAUCUUUAUUUAAACAACAAGCCCAAAAUUAACUCUGUAGAGCCACGGAUGGCUCGGCUACAGCUCGGAUUUAAAUAGGAUUUCACUCAUUGAUAAAUUGAAAUAUGGCGCACCCUGAUGAGAAUACGUCGGUUAGAUCGAGGAUAAAUGAUAGAGUGUACUUAGCGAGGCCGCUGUAGAGUGUUUCCGCAUGCCAUUGAAAACUUUACUUGAUAAUCGAGAUAUUUAGGUGGAGUUAACGAAUGUCAAUCAAACGAUCGACCAAGGUGAUGGCACAUUUCACUACCAUUUCUAGGCAAAUAUUACAACGAUGAUAACUAUGUUCAGAAUAAAGUAAUUUGACUGAAAUUUUCAAUAUAUUCUUCUUUCAUCAUUUACUUUUGAACUGUUAUAGCAAGAAUGGCCAACUCUCUAUAAAAAUCUCCCAUAAUGUAUCUUUAAUAUAAAUUAUUGAAUAGUUUAUACUUGUAAUGGUUUCUAUAUACCUAUUCUAUAUUUGUAUAUAAAUUAUAAUAUAGUUUAUACUUGUACUGCAUAAACUAUAUUAUACCUACAUGUAAUCUAUGUUUGUUAUACAUAUAUAUUAUUAUUGUGUAUAAAUUAUGCACCCGAUUAGAUUUUAUUACAUACUUCGAGAAGGUAUUUGUUGAGUAAUAAAACCUUCUAGUAGUUUAUAGAGAGCUGGCCGUCCUUACCGCACGGUACUAAUAUUACCACCACUAGAAGCAACAAAUUCCAGAACAAGCCAGAACUCAUACCAAAAUGGCCGCUUUAUACAAAUGAGUAUUUAGGGGAAUACUAACCCUAACCCUUUUAAGAGAAGUAAACUAAAUUAGACCCAAGUUCAGUCUUUUAAAAAGGGUUAGGGUUCGGGUUAGGUAUCCCCAAAAUUCUCAUUUAUGUAAAGCGGCCAUUUUGGACUCCGGAAGCACCCGAACCUCGAUAAACUACUAGAAGGUUUUAUUUGUAACGGACGGUAAGGACGGCCAGCCCUCGAUAAACUACUCAACAAAUACCUUCUCGAAGUAUGUAAUAAAAUCUAAUCGAGUGCAUUAUAGUAUAUGGUAACACCUGUAAUGAUCUAAUCUAUGUAAAUACAAUGUAUAUAUAAUUAUUGUAUAUAAAUUAAACAAUAAAAA
This is a long non-coding RNA of Patella vulgata (common limpet), 4040 nucleotides long. RefSeq lists it as uncharacterized. Lineage: Eukaryota; Metazoa; Mollusca; Gastropoda; Patellidae. The transcript has 3 exons. The record is from RefSeq and is a predicted model, not a curated record.